CGGUAAUUCCAGCUCCAAUAGCGUAUACUAAAGUUGUUGCAGUUAAAAAGCUCGUAGUUGGAUUUCUGCGGGGACGGAGCGGCCGGUCGCAACUUGCGACUCGAGCUAGCGCUUUCCCCGCAUCCUGCCGCGAACCGUGCUACCAUUAGCUUGGUGGCGCUGGGGAUCGGCUCGAUUACUUUGAGAAAAAUAGAGUGUUCAAAGCAGGCCACACGCCUUGAAUAAGUUAGCAUGGAAUAAUGACUAAGGACUUCGGUUCUAUUUUGUUGGUGUUCGGGACUGAAGUAAUGAUUGAUAGGGACAGUUGGGGCGGUCUGUAUUCCAAAGCGAGAGGUGAAAUUCUUAGACCUUCGGAAGACAAACAGCUGCGAAAGCGUUCCGCAAGGAUGUUCCCUUUGAUCAAGAACGAAAGUUGGGGGAUCGAAGACGAUCAGAUACCGUCGUAGUCUCAACUAUAAACUAUACCAGCUAGGGAUCGGUCAACGUUUAAUCAUUCGACUUGAUCGGCACCUUAUGAGAAAUCAAAGCAUCUGGGUUCCGGGGGGAGUAUGGUCGCAAGGCUGAAACUUAAAGGAAUUGACGGAAGGGCACCACCAGCCGUGGAGCCUGUGGCUUAAUUUGACUCAACACGGGAAAACUUACCAGGUCCAGACAUAGUAAGGAUUGACAGAUUGAUAGCUCUUUCUUGAUUCUGUGGGUGGUGGUGCAUGGCCGUUCUUAGUUGGUGGAGUGAUUUGUCUGGUUAAUUCCGUUAACGAACGAGACCCCAGCCUGCUAAAUAGCGCGGCUGAGCUUUGCUCGGUGCGAGCUUCUUAGAGGGACUAUGAUGCGCGAUAGCACAUGGAAGUUUGGGGCAAUAACAGGUCUGUGAUGCCCUUAGAUGUUCUGAGCCGCACACGGGCUACACUGGCGCCUGCAACGAGCAUAUCAGCUGGCCCGAGAGGGUCUUGGCUAAUCUUUUGAACCGGCGCCGUGCUUGGGAUUGACCAUUGCAAUUGUUGGUCAUGCAACGAGGAAUGCCUUGUAAACGCGAGUCAUCAGCUCGCAUUGAAUACGUCCCUGCCCUUUGUACACACCGCCCGUCGCUCCUACCGAUGAAUGUUCCGAUGAAAUUUUCGGAGAGCGCCAGAGAACGGGGCUCUGCCUUGCAGAUCUGGAGGCUCAAAGUCACUUAAAUCUGAACAUUUCGAGGAAGGAGAAGUCGUAACAAGGUAACC
This 1217-nucleotide ribosomal RNA is filed under the name uncultured Rhizaria. RNAcentral describes it as "SSU rRNA". It matches the Rfam family "Eukaryotic small subunit ribosomal RNA", at positions 577 to 1804 of the family's 1831-position model. The record is from RNAcentral.